Molecule: non-coding RNA, 81 nt
Organism: Kluyveromyces marxianus DMKU3-1042
Lineage: Eukaryota; Fungi; Ascomycota; Saccharomycetes; Saccharomycetales; Saccharomycetaceae
Source: the annotation of a RefSeq genome assembly
GAGAGUUUGGCCGAGUGGUUAAGGCGUCAGAUUUACACUCUGAUAUCUACGGAUGCGCGGGUUCGAAUCCCGUAGCUCUCA